GCACUCACCCACUCUUUGAAUCAUGGGAGGGGAGGCCUAGUCCUAGGUAAACCUAAACUCUUUGAGGAACCACAGAGCCCAAGGCUGGAAACCUCCAGAAUCCUCCAGCCCCCGAUCCUCCCCGGGGACUGCUGUGGCCUGUCUCACCAGAGCACUCUUCUGUCUGUAGAUGUCUCAGCUGCUCUACAAGGGAGUCCUAUUUCAGGUGUGGGGCUGGGUAUGGUCACUCCUGCUGGAUGUCUAGAAGGUGAAAACCAAGGACCUAGGAAAAUACCAGAUACAGCCUUUCCACCAUCAUCCAGAGCAGGACAAACACGCCAGGUGGUGUCAGGAACCUAGGUCUCCAGCUGGAGGGAAUGUCAACCCUGCAGUGGGAGCCCAUCACACAUCCUAGGCACAGAUGCUAAUGUAGGCACCGCAGACCAUAAAGGAAAACAGCAAGAGGUCCCCAGCAAACAUCUACAGAUGGCCCUGGAUAUCAGCCACAUUCGGAGAAACGUGUCAUGUUCUGGGAGGACUAAGGCAUCGAGAAUCCCAGUGAAUAUAUUGCCACCAUCUUGGAGCUCAGUGCCCUCAUAGUGUAAGAGCACCAGCAGAUCUGCCUGUGCACAGACUUCCUGUACUACCUCACUCCUGAGGGGAGAUGCUUCUGCAGGGCCUGCGACCUGGGGCACAACUUUAGACACCAUCAUCCUGGAGCGGCACUGCACCCUCACUAGCCAGGGUGUUGAUGACUUCCUCAAUGCCAAGGCCACGUUCAAGAUUUUCGACUUCAGUGAUGCGUUUGUGCUGAGCAAGGUGGGCUUCUCCGGGAUCUUAAUUCAAAAGGUAGAAUGCAGCUUGAGAUCUAGUGUCUGAUCGAAGAACUUGAACUUGACCUGGAGGGCUCUGGGGAGCCAUGGAAGGUGCUGGAUAAAGGAGGGACAGUCAUAUAUGUUUUAGAGAUGAC
This 949-nucleotide long non-coding RNA is filed under the name Homo sapiens (human). RNAcentral's name for it is "novel transcript". The record is from RNAcentral. Lineage: Eukaryota; Metazoa; Chordata; Mammalia; Primates; Hominidae.